Molecule: ribosomal RNA, 384 nt
Filed under: uncultured bacterium
Lineage: Bacteria
Description: bacterial SSU rRNA
Rfam family: Bacterial small subunit ribosomal RNA
Source: RNAcentral
GACGAACGCUGGCGGCGUGCUUAACACAUGCAAGUCGAGCGGUAAGGCCCUUUCGGGGGUACACGAGCGGCGAACGGGUGAGUAACACGUGGGUGACCUGCCCUCAGCUCUGGGAUAAGCCUGGGAAACCGGGUCUAAUACUGGAUAUGACUCCAUGACGCAUGUUGUGGGGUGGAAAGCCUUGUGCGGCUGAGGAUGGGCCCGCGGCCUAUCAGCUUGUUGGUGGGGUGANGGCCUACCAAGGCGACGACGGGUAGCCGGCCUGAGAGGGCGACCGGCCACACUGGGACUGAGACACGGCCCAGACUCCGUACGGGAGGCAGCAGUGGGGAAUAUUGGACAAUGGGCGCAAGCCUGAUCCAGCCAUGCCGCGUGAGUGAUGAA